Molecule: ribosomal RNA, 467 nt
Filed under: uncultured bacterium
Lineage: Bacteria
Description: partial 16S ribosomal RNA
Rfam family: Bacterial small subunit ribosomal RNA
Source: RNAcentral
GACGAACGCUGGCGGCGUGCUUAACACAUGCAAGUCGAACGGAAAGGCCCUGCUUUUGUGGGGUGCUCGAGUGGCGAACGGGUGAGUAACACGUGAGUAACCUGCCCUUGACUUUGGGAUAACUUCAGGAAACUGGGGCUAAUACCGGAUAGGAGCUCCUGCUGCAUGGUGGGGGUUGGAAAGUUUCGGCGGUUGGGGAUGGACUCGCGGCUUAUCAGCUUGUUGGUGGGGUAGUGGCUUACCAAGGCUUUGACGGGUAGCCGGCCUGAGAGGGUGACCGGCAACAUUGGGACUGAGAUACGGCCCAGACGCCUACGGGAGGCAGCAGUGGGGAAUAUUGCACAAUGGGCGGAAGCCUGAGGCAGCAACGCCGCGUGCGGGAUGACGGCCUUCGGGUUGUAAACCGCUUUCGCCUGUGACGAAGCGUGAGUGACGGUAAUGGGUAAAGAAGCAACGGCUAACUACGU